GGGUCAGCAGGUUGGUCGCGCCAUUGGUAUGCACUGGCCUUGCUGAUUCCUCCCUCUUGAUGAGCCGUAAUGUCAUUAAUUUGGUGUUGCGGGGAAUCAGGACUGUUACUUUGAAAAAUUAGAGUGUUUAAAGCAGGCAAGCGCUUGAAUACAUUAGCAUGGAAUAAUGAAAUAGGACGUUUAAUCCUAUUUUGUUGGUUUCCAGGAUUGACGUAAUGAU
This 220-nucleotide ribosomal RNA is filed under the name uncultured fungus. Its description in RNAcentral is "partial 18S ribosomal RNA". The stretch from base 40 to 220 matches the Rfam family "Eukaryotic small subunit ribosomal RNA", at positions 686 to 869 of the family's 1831-position model. Lineage: Eukaryota; Fungi. The record is from RNAcentral.